UAAACACAGCUUUUCCAGCAAUUAGUCUGAGAGAAACAUCUGAGCUGCACUGAUGCAACGAAUAAAAGGGCAGUAGGUUGAAGUUAGGGAGAAAAUGUUUUGUUAAACAGUGCAUUCCCCUGUUUUCCCAUACAGUGUACAUAGUAGUACCUGUAAUAGAAAGGUACUUUCUUCUGAAAAAGUAGAUACAGCAAACUAAAAGUGAGAAGAAAUUCAGUACCAUCACCAGCCCAACAGACUGCAUAGGUUUAUCAUAGUAAUUCCCUGAGGAAGCUGUGAUCAUACAUAAGUAUUAUUACAAUGCUAUGGAGACAUGCUCUCAAGACUGUAAAAUGUGCUUCCCUGUGUGUUAUAAUCUAGGUUUUUAAUGACUGUUUUAUAUGGAAAUGUAAGAUAGGGACAUUUAGAGAAUGCUUUGCCUAGGUUUGGGUCUGAAAAUUAUGCGUAAAGGGGAUUGAAAUUAUGGGUAAGGGUCCUAGCAGCAUCAGGACAGGCAGCUGUGCUUGUCCCAGAACAAUCUGGUCCAGAGAAAGAUGGCCGUUUUUGGACUGAAUAUAAUUUAGAAGUUGACAUGAAUGGGACUUGAAAGGCACCUUUAGGUGCCUAAGAUUGGAUUUUAAAGCCUCAAUUUAGGCUUCCAUUUUAGAAAUUUUUCAAGUUAUUCUGUUAAAAAAAAAAAAAAAAAAAGAGGCUGAAACCAUCUCUUGCUUCUUAGUUGUAUGGAAAGGUGUUAUAAAGGACUGUUUAUUAUUUAGGUUUAUUAAAGGACUGUUUAUUAAUAACAUAUCUUUAACAGAUAUGUUAUUAUUGUUCAGAUAACAGUUUGCAUCAGUAUGUAAUCUAUAUGACCAGGUCUGAAGGAGAGGCAGAGAAAAGCACAAACCUGAGAAUCAUGAGCAAAGGAGCCAUAGAAAGCGUUAUCUUUUCACGGAAGCAGGAUUUCUCUUUCAUGUACAUGGAACAUGUACCUGGAUCCUUGCUAUAGUUGCAACAAAUACUUUAAAAUUCUGGAUUACAGUACAGUUGAGGUAAGAAUGACACACUAAGAAAUACCUCUAUGGGUCUUCAAAGAAGGAUGUUAACACCACUAAG
Molecule: long non-coding RNA, 1092 nt
Filed under: Anas platyrhynchos platyrhynchos (common mallard)
Lineage: Eukaryota; Metazoa; Chordata; Aves; Anseriformes; Anatidae
Description: lncRNA (ENSAPLG00000027916.1)
Source: RNAcentral